This 156-nucleotide ribosomal RNA is filed under the name Hypostomus strigaticeps. RNAcentral's name for it is "partial small subunit ribosomal RNA". Lineage: Eukaryota; Metazoa; Chordata; Actinopteri; Siluriformes; Loricariidae. The record is from RNAcentral.
CGGCGUAAAGAGUGGUUAGAGGACCCCCAUAAUAAAGUCAAAGACCCCCCAGGCCGUCACACGCAUACGAGGGUACGAAGUUCACACACGAUAGUAGCUUUAAAUUACCCGACGCCCGAAAGCUAAGAAACUAACUGGGAUUAGAUACCCCACUAU